CCAACAGCCGCAGCUAGCCCUACUGCAACCACCUGCUGCCCAGUCCUACUAGACCCCAGGGAAGCCACCCUUCUGAACCCAAAAAGUAGGAAACAGGAGGGUGGCUAAAAAUAUGUAUUUAAAAAAAAAAAAUUAUGUGGGUAUCUGUGACAUUGUGUGUAUAUAUCGUGUGUAUGUCUCUAUGUGUGUUUGAAUGUGUGUAUCUAAAAAUCUGUGUGUGUGUCUGCCUGUUUCAGUGUGUGUGUUUGUGUGUCUGUCUGCCAGUGAGUGUCUGCCUGUCAAUCAGUAAGUGGAUGUGUCUGUCUGUCUGCCACUGAGUGUGUCUGUAUGUCAGUGAGUGUCUGUCUGUCUGCCCAUCAGUCAGUGAGUGUAUGCGUCUGUCAGUCAGUAAGUGUAUGUCUGUCUGUCAGUCAGUAAGUGUAUGUGUCUGUCAGUCAGUGAGUGUGUAUGUCUGUCAGUCAAUGAGUGUGUGGGUCUGUCUGUCAGUGAAUGUGUCUGUCUGCCUGUCAGUGAAUAUAUAUGUCUCUGUCUGGCAGUCAGUGAGUGUGUGAGUCUCUGUCUGUCAGUCAGUGAGUGUGUGGGUCUGUCAGUCAGUGCGUGUGUGUGGGUCUGUCUGUCAGUGAGUGUGUGUGUAUCAGUCCAGGUGUCUGUUAGUAAGUGUGCGGGUUUAGGUCACCAGUGCCCCUUCAAUCAAUUGGGAAUGGUGUUUUUACUCACCUUUUUUCCCCAACGCUGUGCCAGUCUCCAUAGCUGAGAUUAUCAAUCUUGAUGAUCUCAGCAACUCCAAUGCUUUCCUGUAGGAAAGCACUGGGAGCUAUUGAGCAUGCGCAGUAAAAUGCUGCACCAAUCAGCAUCUCCUCAUAGAGAUGCAUUAAAUCAAUGCAUCUCUUUGGGGAGCAUUCUGCGUCUCCAUGCAGUUAGGAAACACUUUAGUGGCCGUUUGAGUGACUGCCACUAGAGAUGUUACUAGGCAGCAAUGUAAACUUUUCUCUGGAAAUAUAGUGUUUACGUGGAAAAGUCUGCAGGGAUAGGCUAUAGACACCAGAGCCACUAUAUUAGCCUGUAGUGGUUCUAGUGACUAUAGUGUUCCUUUAAGAAUUGUAUUUUCGUUGUUGAAAAAAAAUGGCUCCUAACAUUUUAAGCAGGCUCCUAGAUCCCAAGCAAAUUUGUCAAGCCCUGCUUUACACAAAUAUAUGGGUAAAGGGACACUAUAGUCACCUGAACAACGUUAGCUUAAUGAAGCAGUUUUGGUGUAUAGAACAUGCCCCUGCAGCCUCACUGC
Pelobates cultripes (western spadefoot toad) is the source of this 1282-nucleotide non-coding RNA. Lineage: Eukaryota; Metazoa; Chordata; Amphibia; Anura; Pelobatidae. The record is from the annotation of a GenBank genome assembly.